Molecule: ribosomal RNA, 477 nt
Filed under: uncultured bacterium
Lineage: Bacteria
Description: partial 16S ribosomal RNA
Rfam family: Bacterial small subunit ribosomal RNA
Source: RNAcentral
GAUCAACGCUGGCGGCGUGCCUAACACAUGCAAGUCGAACGAUGAAGAUUAAAAGAUUUCUUCGGAAUGAACUUAAUUGGAUUAGUGGCGGACGGGUGAGUAACGCGUGAGUAACCUGCCUUGUACAAGGGGAUAGCCGUUGGAAACGACGAAUAAUACCCUAUGACAUCAAAUAAUCGCAUGAUAAUUUGAUCAAAGAUUUAUCGGUAUAAGAUGGACUCGCGUCUGAUUAGCUAGUUGGUAGAGUAAAAGCCUACCAAGGCAACGAUCAGUAGCCGGCUUGAGAGAGUGUACGGCCACAUUGGGACUGAGACACGGCCCAGACUCCUACGGGAGGCAGCAGUGGGGAAUUUUGCACAAUGGGGGAAACCCUGAUGCAGUGACGCCGCGUGAUUUAGAAGGCCUUCGGGUUGUAAAAAUCUUUUGUAUGGGAAGAAAAUGACAGUACCAUACGAAUAAGGACCGGCUAAUUACGUG